This is a long non-coding RNA of Cervus elaphus (red deer), 4361 nucleotides long. RefSeq lists it as uncharacterized. The record is from RefSeq and is a predicted model, not a curated record. The transcript has 3 exons. Lineage: Eukaryota; Metazoa; Chordata; Mammalia; Artiodactyla; Cervidae.
UUCUCUCUCGCUGACGCCGUGCAUCCUGAGGGUACCCCCUGGAUCCUGCCGAGGCUGGACCCCAGCACUAUUUAACACUUAUUAAGACUUGGAGCUGAAGAAGCUGGCAACUUGGAAAUGCCAGUGAGCAUGGACAAAAGAAGCCCCAGCAGCCACCUGCUCUCUCCAGCCAAAGGAGCAGCCUAGCAAGACGGAAGCUUCUUAGACAAUAAUUGCUCUUCUCCAGUCAACCACUACAGCGAAUCUGUGGCCCCAUUUCCACCCCUGCCAGUGGCGAGACUAGAUCCCUGCUCUUGUGAGGCUUAUACCAGGAGCCCCAUUCUCUCUGCCAGCAUGGUGUCAGGAAAGGCAGAAUAGAGAGCCAGGACAUUCAUCCAUAGCCCUGGGAGAUAAUGAAGCCUCCUCCCGUGCUGUCAGUGGAGGUCAGCAGACAGCCAUCUGUCACCAAUGGGGUGCCCUUCCCCCAUCCCCACCCCCGGGGAAAGUGUCGAAGGAGGUCUAAUGGGGUGUCAGGAUUUCCCCCACUGCCUGGCAGUAGUGAGGUCCUCUUAUGUCUGCAGCAACAUGUCAGUGAGGCUGUGAGAGGAGCAGUCAUGAAGACCUCCAAGCUGCCCACCCAGAGAGAUAAGAUCACUACUGGCCUAGUGCAGAGUCAAACUCCCACCCACACCCAGCAGUAAAGAGGAGUCCCACCUCAGGGGUCCACGAAGGCCAAAUGGAACCCUGUGCUACUACCCCCAACUAACAGUGAAGAGGUGGUCCCUGCUUCCCCAAUGUCCCCCGCCCUGACACAGUGAUGCCACAGGAAGCCAGAGACAAGGAAGGCUUAAAUAAGAUCAGAGUCUCCUAACAGAGGCUUCCCUGCUCGCUCAGUGGUAAAGAACCCCCUGCCAGUGCAGGAGACGUGGGUUCCAUCCCUGGGUUGGGAAGCUCCCCUGGAGAAGGAAAUGGCAACUCACUCCAGUAUUCUUGCCUGAAGAAUUCCAUGGACAGAGGAGACUGGUGGGUUAUGGUCCAUAAGGAUGCAAAAGAUUUGGACAUGACUUAGAGAUGAAGCAAUGACAACAACAGUUCCUCACAGAAUGCCCCAUAUGUUUUGCUGGAAUCAAUUUUAUUUUAUGGAUUCAAUUUUAAAAAUCGCUCAUCACACCAAGAACAAGGAAGAACUCAAACUAAGUGAAAAAAAGACAAAUCGAUAGAUACCAACACCAAGAUGACAAAGAGGUCAAAUUAUCUGACAAGGAUUUAAAGCAGUCAUCAUAAAGAAGCUUAUUUCACUUAACAAAAUGCCCUCCAGGGAGGCCUUUCUCAGGAAGGAGAGUAAAAAUAAGAAAAUUAGGUCCAUGUGUGCUCAUUUUUUCUUAUUUUUCCUUCUAAUAUCUUAAAGAACUCUUUGACAACUUUCUGAAAUACUGCAUCCGAAGUGUUCCCUAUCAUAAUGAUUAGAAUUUAUCUAAAUCUACUAACUCUUUUAACAGCUUAGAAUGUGUGUUAUAGAGACAGUGGUUGAAAGAUAUUUCACCGUUUCUCAUAUACUGGCUUUUAUUUUAUCAACAACUAAUUUCACACAGUUUCCCUUGCUUAUUUCCCCAAAUCUCUUUUUCUGACCUUUUUUAAUCAAAAAGCAGAAUUUAACUAUAACGUUGUACUCCUGAGAUUUCUGAUCAUAGUGUCAACAAAUUUUCAUCCUUUUGUUGCUGCUGUUACCUCUGUUUAUAUAGAUUAAUUGGUAUCUUUUAUCUUUAAGAAUCUUUGUUAUCACUAAGAAGCUCCUAUUUUCCUUUCUGGUUUUGUAUCUUUUUCCCACAUCUUUCUCAAACUAUAAUCUUGCUUUGUGUUCUCUUUUCUUCUUUAUUUCCAUCUGACAUUUUACCAAUACUUUGUCCCUACACUGGAAACCUAAUAUUAUUUAUUAUUAUUUUUCUUUCUUGCUCUUGUGAAUUGAAAAUGAUAGAUUUCAACAGUAAACUUCUUUCUUUUUCUAAAUUACCUUAGAACUAGAGGUUUCACAUCAAGUGCUUUACACAACAGAAACCUCAAAAUCAAUUUUCUUUUUUCACUAAAAUGAAGGAUGACAGAGCGAUUAUACAAAAUCUUUUUUUCCUAUCCUCAGGUACUUAGAGAGAAGAUCCUUCUGAAAAGGAAUGAAAUUCAGAAAUAUCUGGGACUAACAUGGGGUCUCUACAGAGUCAUGUAUCAUGGAGUCAGCUGGCCAGACACUCUUGUAAUAGAUGAUUUCAGUUCCCCAACCAGCGCCCGUUGUCAGCACUAAAGCGUGUUGGGCAGUGUGUGUCCCAACGAACAGAGUCAGAUGGCAUGAUGGCUAACCAAAGGAAGCAGAGGAGAAGGCAGUCUUGACUCUCUGACAAGGUGGACCAACUCUUCUGAUUUUAAGCAAAUAUAUUAUGUAAUAAUAUUUAAAUAUAAAAUAAUAAUAGAAUUAAUUAUAUGUGAUAACAUUUGUUCUAUUAAAUAGUGUUUGCAUAUAAAGGCAUCAGGACAGUGGGUAGUAUAAAGUAGGCUACUUUCCCCUCUUCUCCUUAAUCAGAAUAACAGUUGAUAUGUUACUUAUAGCCUUCUAGUUGUUGCUUAGUCACUGUCACGUCCAACUCUUUGCGACCCCAUGGACUGCAGCUCGCCAGACUUCCCUGUCCUUUGCCAUCUCCCGGAGUUGACGCAGAUUCAAGGCUAACACCAGUUGAGCUGACAUCAAGAAGUUACUGGCAAUGUUUGGGGAUAAUUUCUACAAUGUACGUACAAAAGAUAUGCUCACAGAAAAAUACGUCUUUGUAACUUGUCUCUUUUUUAUGUUUUCAGUGUUUUGUAUGCUUCACAUAAAAAAAGAGAUUGAUUCUCAAAGACAUUCUGCCUUACAGCACUCUUCCUGAAAUUUUAAGGACAUCUGAACUUGACUGUUUUUAUUUCCCAGAGUUAAACAUAGACUGGGUAUUAGGUUGAGGAUAUCAAGUCACAUUUCUACCCAAAUAGUCAUCUAACUGAUGAGAAACAAGACAAGCAAAUAGGGACAAUACUCAAGAAUUUUUUUUUUAAUGUUAUAUAUUGCGGUUCAUAAUUCACUGUUUUUUUUUAAAAAAAAUUUGUUUAUUUAUUUUUACAUUUUUGGCUGUGCUGGGUCUUUGUUGUUGUGCAUGGGCUUUCUCUAGCUGCUGCUAGCAGGGGCUACGCUUCUUUGAAAUACACAAGCUUCUUAUUGCAAUGGCUUCUCCUGUGAUGGAGCACAGGCUGUAGGCACAGGAACUCAGUCUUUUUGGUGCAUGGGCUGAGUUGCCCCGUAUCAUGUGGAAACUUGCUGGACUUGGGAUCAAAGUCCCCAAGUCCUUGGGGCCCCAAACUUGGGAUCAAACCUGUGUCCCCUUUAUUAGCAGAUGGAUUCUUAACCACUGGGCCACCAAGGAAGUCCCUUGAGAAUUUUUAAAGUUAACAGUUGUCAAGAUUUUUAAAGGUUAUUAAUAUUUUUAUUCCUAUUUUCAAGCAAAUAUUCCCUUAGAAGAAUAGAAACUCCCUCUAUUUCUCCAGCAAACUCAAGUAGAAGCUCUAAGAAAAACAUAUAGCUUAGAACAAAGUGUAGAUCCAAAUAUGAAUCAAAUUAAAUGUGGUAGUGUUCUGAGAAGUUCAUGCAAUGUAAGGAAAGUAGAUCCUUUACAUUCUCUUUGAAGUUGUAGAAGUGUACUGACAGAGGAAUCACAUUCUCUUUUUUCAAUGAAUCACGUUACUUGAUUCUUCAGUGAAUAAUGAUCAUAUACUCACGUACUGUGGGUGAUGUGCUCUGUUUUCACUUUUCAGAAUCAACCUUAAAGGCAAAACAUGUUUAGGUAACAAUGUAUAAGUGUUCUAAUCUAAACCUUGAAAUCUGUAAAUUGAUAUAUAGCUGAUAGAAAUUGAAAGUGGAUACGUGAGAAAGAGGAAAUGGAAGUUCCAAACAGAGAAAAUAGUUGGGAGAAAUCCAUCAAAGAAACAAUAGAAGACAUUUUUCCAAAAUAAAGCACACAUCUCCAGGUUGAAAGACUGGGCUGAUUGCUCAGCUCAAUGAAUGAAAUGUAUGUCCACCAUGAAGCCACAUCAUCGUGAAAUUUCGAAAGCCCAAGGAUAGAGAAAAGAUCCUGAAAGCUUCCAGAUAAAGAGAAAACCACUUUAGAAGUAAGUCAGACAGAGAAGGAGAAAUACUAUAUGACAUCCCUUAUGUGUGGAAUCUAAAAAGAAAUGAUACAAAUGAAUUUACUUACAAAACAGAAAGAGACUCACAGGGUGAGAGAAUGAACUAUGGUUGCCUAUACACACUGCUGUAUUUAAAGUGGAUAACCAACAAGGACCUAUUGUUUAGCACAUGGAACUCUGCUCAA